Molecule: ribosomal RNA, 250 nt
Filed under: uncultured Lachnospiraceae bacterium
Lineage: Bacteria; Bacillati; Bacillota; Clostridia; Lachnospirales; Lachnospiraceae
Description: partial 16S ribosomal RNA
Rfam family: Bacterial small subunit ribosomal RNA
Source: RNAcentral
UACGUAGGGGGCAAGCGUUAUCCGGAUUUACUGGGUGUAAAGGGAGCGUAGACGGCAUAUAAAGUCUGAAGUGAAAUCCCGCAGCUCAACUGCGGAGUUGCUUUGGAAACUUAUAAGCUGGAGUGUCGGAGGGGUAAGCGGAAUUCCCAGUGUAGCGGUGAAAUGCGUAGAUAUUGGGAGGAACACCGGAGGCGAAGGCGGCUUACUGGAAGAUAACUGACGUUGAGGCUCGAAGGCGUGGGUAGCAAAC